Long non-coding RNA from Nymphalis io (European peacock), 314 nucleotides. RefSeq lists it as uncharacterized. NCBI's taxonomy places the organism in Eukaryota, Metazoa, Arthropoda, Insecta, Lepidoptera, Nymphalidae. The record is from RefSeq and is a predicted model, not a curated record. The transcript has 2 exons.
AUUUUAAUUGUUUCGCAGCAAACGAUAUUUUUAGAUUGGCGGUGAUAUCUUCUAAUGAACUUGAAGAUAUGAAGGCAAUUUUAAUCUAUAUAAAAUCCAUAAGGAAGAUGCACCCCGCUGUUUUUCGCGAGAGGAAAGCGCGGCGUGCGGAGAGUUCAGCUCGAACUUAGUCCACCGACGACCGCAGCUUGAUGCACAGUCAUAGGGAAAUUUUUUUGUUCUAUGAUUUUUUUUAUCAAUAUAAUUUUUUAAAUGUCCAAAAAAACGGAACAUAUAGUUCCCAAAAGUCAGAAAUAAACAUACUUUGAAAGUUU